RNAcentral lists this ribosomal RNA (450 nucleotides) under uncultured bacterium. Its description in RNAcentral is "partial 16S ribosomal RNA". It matches the Rfam family "Bacterial small subunit ribosomal RNA", at positions 354 to 796 of the family's 1533-position model. The record is from RNAcentral.
GUGGGGAAUAUUGGACAAUGGGCGAAAGCCUGAUCCAGCCAUGCCGCGUGUGUGAAGAAGGUCUUCGGAUUGUAAAGCACUUUAAGUUGGGAGGAAGGGCAGUAAGUUAAUACCUUGCUGUUUUGACGUUACCGACAGAAUAAGCACCGGCUAACUUCGUGCCAGCAGCCGCGGUAAUACGAAGGGUGCAAGCGUUAAUCGGAAUUACUGGGCGUAAAGCGCGCGUAGGUGGUUUUGUAAGUUGGAGGUGAAAUCCGCGGGCUCAACCUGGGAACUGCCUCCAAAACUGCAUGACUAGAGUACGGUAGAGGGUAGUGGAAUUUCCUGUGUAGCGGUGAAAUGCGUAGAUAUAGGAAGGAACACCAGUGGCGAAGGCGACUACCUGGACUGAUACUGACACUGAGGUGCGAAAGCGUGGGGAGCAAACAGGAUUAGAUACCCCAGUAGUCC